CACUAUCGUUAACUGAAUACAUAGGUUAACGAGGCGAACCGGGGGAACUGAAACAUCUAAGUACCCCGAGGAAAAGAAAUCAACCGAGAUUCCCCCAGUAGCGGCGAGCGAACGGGGAGCAGCCCAGAGUCUGAAUCAGCUUGUGUGUUAGUGGAACGGUCUGGAAAGUCCGACGGUACAGGGUGAUAGUCCCGUACACCAAAAUGCACAGGCUGUGAACUCGAAGAGUAGGGCGGGACACGUGGUAUCCUGUCUGAAUAUGGGGGGACCAUCCUCCAAGGCUAAAUACUCCUGACUGACCGAUAGUGAACCAGUACCGUGAGGGAAAGGCGAAAAGAACCCCGGCGAGGGGAGUGAAAAAGAACCUGAAACCGUGUACGUACAAGCAGUGGGAGCACCUUCGGGUGUGACUGCGUACCUUUUGUAUAAUGGGUCAGCGACUUAUAUUCUGUAGCAAGGUUAACCGUAUAGGGGAGCCGCAGGGAAACCGAGUCUUAACUGGGCGUUAAGUUGCAGGGUAUAGACCCGAAACCCGGUGAUCUAGCCAUGGGCAGGUUGAAGGUUGGGUAACACUAACUGGAGGACCGAACCGACUAAUGUUGAAAAAUUAGCGGAUGACUUGUGGCUGGGGGUGAAAGGCCAAUCAAACCGGGAGAUAGCUGGUUCUCCCCGAAAGCUAUUUAGGUAGCGCCUCGUGAACUCAUCUUCGGGGGUAGAGCACUGUUUCGGCUAGGGGGUCAUCCCGACUUACCAACCCGAUGCAAACUACGAAUACCGAAGAAUGUUAUCACGGGAGACACACGGCGGGUGCUAACGUCCGUCGUGAAGAGGGAAACAACCCAGACCGCCAGCUAAGGUCCCAAAGUCAUGGUUAAGUGGGAAACGAUGUGGGAAGGCACAGACAGCCAGGAUGUUGGCUUAGAAGCAGCCAUCAUUUAAAGAAAGCGUAAUAGCUCACUGGUCGAGUCGGCCUGCGCGGAAGAUGUAACGGGGCUAAACCAUGCACCGAAGCUGCGGCAGCGACACUAUGUGUUGUUGGGUAGGGGAGCGUUCUGUAAGCCUGCGAAGGUGUGCUGUGAGGCAUGCUGGAGGUAUCAGAAGUGCGAAUGCUGACAUAAGUAACGAUAAAGCGGGUGAAAAGCCCGCUCGCCGGAAGACCAAGGGUUCCUGUCCAACGUUAAUCGGGGCAGGGUGAGUCGACCCCUAAGGCGAGGCCGAAAGGCGUAGUCGAUGGGAAACAGGUUAAUAUUCCUGUACUUGGUGUUACUGCGAAGGGGGGACGGAGAAGGCUAUGUUAGCCGGGCGACGGUUGUCCCGGUUUAAGCAUGUAGGCUGAUUGUCCAGGCAAAUCCGGAUAAUCAAGGCUGAGGUGUGAUGACGAGGCACUACGGUGCUGAAGUAACAAAUGCCCUGCUUCCAGGAAAAGCCUCUAAGCAUCAGGUAACAUCAAAUCGUACCCCAAACCGACACAGGUGGUCAGGUAGAGAAUACCAAGGCGCUUGAGAGAACUCGGGUGAAGGAACUAGGCAAAAUGGUGCCGUAACUUCGGGAGAAGGCACGCUGGUGUGUAGGUGAAGUCCCUGCGGAUGGAGCUGAGACCAGUCGAAGAUACCAGCUGGCUGCAACUGUUUAUUAAAAACACAGCACUGUGCAAACACGAAAGUGGACGUAUACGGUGUGACGCCUGCCCGGUGCCGGAAGGUUAAUUGAUGGGGUUAUCCGUAAGGAGAAGCUCUUGAUCGAAGCCCCGGUAAACGGCGGCCGUAACUAUAACGGUCCUAAGGUAGCGAAAUUCCUUGUCGGGUAAGUUCCGACCUGCACGAAUGGCGUAAUGAUGGCCAGGCUGUCUCCACCCGAGACUCAGUGAAAUUGAACUCGCUGUGAAGAUGCAGUGUACCCGCGGCAAGACGGAAAGACCCCGUGAACCUUUACUAUAGCUUGACACUGAACAUUGAGCCUUGAUGUGUAGGAUAGGUGGGAGGCUUUGAAGCGUGGACGCCAGUCUGCGUGGAGCCAACCUUGAAAUACCACCCUUUAAUGUUUGAUGUUCUAACGUUGGCCCCUGACCGGGGUUGCGGACAGUGUCUGGUGGGUAGUUUGACUGGGGCGGUCUCCUCCCAAAGCGUAACGGAGGAGCACGAAGGUUAGCUAAUCCUGGUCGGACAUCAGGAGGUUAGUGCAAUGGCAUAAGCUAGCUUGACUGCGAGCGUGACGGCGCGAGCAGGUGCGAAAGCAGGUCAUAGUGAUCCGGUGGUUCUGAAUGGAAGGGCCAUCGCUCAACGGAUAAAAGGUACUCCGGGGAUAACAGGCUGAUACCGCCCAAGAGUUCAUAUCGACGGCGGUGUUUGGCACCUCGAUGUCGGCUCAUCACAUCCUGGGGCUGAAGUAGGUCCCAAGGGUAUGGCUGUUCGCCAUUUAAAGUGGUACGCGAGCUGGGUUUAGAACGUCGUGAGACAGUUCGGUCCCUAUCUGCCGUGGGCGCUGGAGAAUUGAGGGGGGCUGCUCCUAGUACGAGAGGACCGGAGUGGACGCAUCACUGGUGUUCGGGUUGUCAUGCCAAUGGCACUGCCCGGUAGCUAAAUGCGGAAGAGAUAAGUGCUGAAAGCAUCUAAGCACGAAACUUGCCCCGAGAUGAGUUCUCCCUGAGACUUUAAGUCUCCUGAAGGAACGUUGAAGACGACGACGUUGAUAGGCCGGGUGUGUAAGCGCAGCGAUGCGUUGAGCUAACCGGUACUAAUGAACCGUGAGGCUUAACCUU
Molecule: ribosomal RNA, 2758 nt
Filed under: Klebsiella pneumoniae
Lineage: Bacteria; Pseudomonadati; Pseudomonadota; Gammaproteobacteria; Enterobacterales; Enterobacteriaceae
Description: bacterial LSU rRNA
Rfam family: Bacterial large subunit ribosomal RNA
Source: RNAcentral